RNAcentral lists this long non-coding RNA (408 nucleotides) under Androctonus crassicauda. The record is from RNAcentral. Lineage: Eukaryota; Metazoa; Arthropoda; Arachnida; Scorpiones; Buthidae.
ACAAUGCAUUCUGGUCGAUUAGUAAAGUAGUUGGUUGCAUUCAUCUUCAUUUAUGUAAUAAGUUUGGCUUUAAACAGUCAAAGAAAAUAAGAUCUCACUCAAUUGAAUAAAUAAUUGCAAAUGAAGAUGCGGAAAUCAGAGUCAACACCUAGAUAAAAACGUCUAUAAAAACUUAAACAUGAUAGGCCUGAUAUUUUUGCAUUUGACAAAAAAAGAAAGAUUAUACAUUUUAUUGAGAUCAAAAUUACAAAUGAAAAUUUAUUAUCAACAGUUGGUAAGUAAAGAUAAUUCCAUAUAUGACGACUUGGGUAGUAUUGAAACAACUUAUCACAAAAAUCAUAUCAGAGCUAUCGAUUUUCUCCUAAAUGUAGAAGCAUGCAUGUAGACUCGUAUCCUCAAGAAGACUCU